Molecule: ribosomal RNA, 481 nt
Filed under: uncultured bacterium
Lineage: Bacteria
Description: partial 16S ribosomal RNA
Rfam family: Bacterial small subunit ribosomal RNA
Source: RNAcentral
GAUGAACGCUGGCGGCGUGCUUAACACAUGCAAGUCGAACGAAGCACUUUAUUUGAUUUCCUUCGGGGCUGAUUAUUUUGUGACUGAGUGGCGGACGGGUGAGUAACGCGUGGGUAACCUGCCUUGUACAGGGGGAUAACAGUUGGAAACGGCUGCUAAUACCGCAUAAGCGCACAGCAUCGCAUGAUGCAGUGUGAAAAACUCCGGUGGUAUAAGAUGGACCCGCGUUGGAUUAGCUAGUUGGUGAGGUAACGGCCCACCAAGGCGACGAUCCAUAGCCGACCUGAGAGGGUGACCGGCCACAUUGGGACUGAGACACGGCCCAAACUCCUACGGGAGGCAGCAGUGGGGAAUAUUGCACAAUGGGCGAAAGCCUGAUGCAGCGACGCCGCGUGAGCGAAGAAGUAUUUCGGUAUGUAAAGCUCUAUCAGCAGGGAAGAUAAUGACGGUACCUGACGAAGAAGCACCGGCUAAAUACGUG